AUUUUAUUUUCUAUUUAGAUAUUAAGUCUUCUGUUGAGGAUUUUAGUCAAACAAAUGUUAGAUCAUUUGGUCAAUUACUCGUUAAUAUUCAAAGCUUUCAACUCAUUGUAGGUGCAAAUGGGAUUAUUUAUUCAGAUUAAGCUUAAAGAGACUUAAAAAAUUAGAGGAAGCUCAUUGGUCUGCAAAGUCUGAGGAUGUUCUUAUGUGCAAACUAAAAGGAAAAAGUGAGAACCAAACUUUGUUGCAUCAUAUGAAAUUGAAGAUAUUACACUUAUUAUUUCUUCUGGGAAGCAGCUGUUGAGUACAUAAACUGUGGAAAAGCUAUUUAUUCAAGAGUUGCCAGAAUUUGUAAGAAUGGUCCGAGGAGGAGAUUUUCUUUUGAAAGGAAAAUUUACCACUUUUCUGAAAGUUCAGUUCUGGGAAAUUAUCCCUUUCCAUUUAACUAACUUCAAAGUGUUCAUUUUAUUGAAAAGAAAGAAAUAUUCUAUGCAACAUUUACCACUUCCGUGUGAAGAAAAUUCUGGAUAGGCCUAGAUGUCAACAGCUACAAGAGAAUGAUCAUUUAUGUGCAAGAAAUGGUCGAGAUGUAAGAGUACUACCUCAUGCAGAUGUUGUCCAAAGAUUGCCCCGGAAUCGAAUCUGCAGAAAUCAUUGCGGAAAGAAGAGGUUUCUUCUUCAAGGAGUAAAGGAAGAACUAAAGUAAAAUAUUUAUGGAACUGCACUUUAUAUUGUAUAAUUUAUCAGCGAUUGAGAAAUCCUUCGCCUGUGUUUUUAAGUACCACUAAUGAAGCUCAAACAUCAGUUCUGAAACACCACCAG
Molecule: non-coding RNA, 819 nt
Organism: Parasteatoda tepidariorum (common house spider)
Lineage: Eukaryota; Metazoa; Arthropoda; Arachnida; Araneae; Theridiidae
Source: RefSeq, a predicted model, not a curated record